Molecule: ribosomal RNA, 397 nt
Filed under: uncultured bacterium
Lineage: Bacteria
Description: partial 16S ribosomal RNA
Rfam family: Bacterial small subunit ribosomal RNA
Source: RNAcentral
AUACGUAGGGGGCGAGCGUUGUCCGGAAUGACUGGGCGUAAAGGGCGUGUAGGCGGCGGUGUAAGUCUGGAGUGAAAGUCCCGCAUUCAAUGUGGGAAUUGCUUUGGAUACUGCAGUGCUAGAGUGCGGAAGAGGUAAGUGGAAUUCCCAGUGUAGCGGUGAAAUGCGUAGAGAUUGGGAGGAACACCAGUGGCGAAGGCGACUUACUGGGCCGUAACUGACGCUGAGGCGCGAAAGUGUGGGGAGCAAACAGGAUUAGAUACCCUGGUAGUCCACACUGUAAACGAUGAAUGCUAGGUGUAGGGGGUAUCGACCCCUUCUGUGCCGCAGUCAACACAGUAAGCAUUCCGCCUGGGGAGUACGGCCGCAAGGUUGAAACUCAAAGGAAUUGGCGGGG